RNAcentral lists this ribosomal RNA (791 nucleotides) under uncultured bacterium. Its description in RNAcentral is "bacterial SSU rRNA". It matches the Rfam family "Bacterial small subunit ribosomal RNA", at positions 8 to 794 of the family's 1533-position model. The record is from RNAcentral.
AGAGUUUGAUCAUGGCUCAGAUUGAACGCUGGCGGCAGGCCUAACACAUGCAAGUCGAGCGGUAGAGAGAAGCUUGCUUCUCUUGAGAGCGGCGGACGGGUGAGUAAUGCCUAGGAAUCUACCUGGUAGUGGGGGAUAACGUCCGGAAACGGACGCUAAUACCGCAUACGUCCUACGGGGGAAAGCAGGGGACCUUCGGGCCUUGCGCUAUCAGAUGAGCCUAGGUCGGAUUAGCUAGUUGGUGGGGUAAUGGCUCACCAAGGCGACGAUCCGUAACUGGUCUGAGAGGAUGAUCAGUCACACUGGAACUGAGACACGGUCCAGACUCCUACGGGAGGCAGCAGUGGGGAAUAUUGGACAAUGGGCGAAAGCCUGAUCCAGCCAUGCCGCGUGUGUGAAGAAGGUCUUCGGAUUGUAAAGCACUUUAAGUUGGGAGGAAGGGCAGUAAAUUAAUACUUUGCUGUUUUGACGUUACCGACAGAAUAAGCACCGGCUAACUCUGUGCCAGCAGCCGCGGUAAUACAGAGGGUGCAAGCGUUAAUCGGAAUUACUGGGCGUAAAGCGCGCGUAGGUGGUUCGUUAAGUUGGAUGUGAAAUCCCCGGGCUCAACCUGGGAACUGCAUUCAAAACUGACGAGCUAGAGUAUGGUAGAGGGUGGUGGAAUUUCCUGUGUAGCGGUGAAAUGCGUAGAUAUAGGAAGGAACACCAGUGGCGAAGGCGACCACCUGGACUGAUACUGACACUGAGGUGCGAAAGCGUGGGGAGCAAACAGGAUUAGAUACCCCGGUAGU